AUUGAACGCUGGCGGCAGGCCUAACACAUGCAAGUCGAGCGGAUGAAGGGAGCUUGCUCCUGGAUUCAGCGGCGGACGGGUGAGUAAUACCUAGGAAUCUGCCUGGUAGUGGGGGAUAACGUCCGGAAACGGGCGCUAAUACCGCAUACGUCCUGAGGGAGAAAGUGGGGGAUCUUCGGACCUCACGCUAUCAGAUGAGCCUAGGUCGGAUUAGCUAGUUGGUGGGGUAAAGGCCUACCAAGGCGACGAUCCGUAACUGGUCUGAGAGGAUGAUCAGUCACACUGGAACUGAGACACGGUCCAGACUCCUACGGGAGGCAGCAGUGGGGAAUAUUGGACAAUGGGCGAAAGCCUGAUCCAGCCAUGCCGCGUGUGUGAAGAAGGUCUUCGGAUUGUAAAGCACUUUAAGUUGGGAGGAAGAGCAGUAAGUUAAUACCUUGCUGUUUUGACGUUACCAACAGAAUAAGCACCGGCUAACUUCGUG
RNAcentral lists this ribosomal RNA (484 nucleotides) under uncultured bacterium. RNAcentral's name for it is "partial 16S ribosomal RNA". It matches the Rfam family "Bacterial small subunit ribosomal RNA", at positions 30 to 507 of the family's 1533-position model. The record is from RNAcentral.